Long non-coding RNA from Macrosteles quadrilineatus (aster leafhopper), 330 nucleotides. RefSeq lists it as uncharacterized. The transcript has 3 exons. The record is from RefSeq and is a predicted model, not a curated record. Lineage: Eukaryota; Metazoa; Arthropoda; Insecta; Hemiptera; Cicadellidae.
GUGCUUUGUGAGGUAGGACUGUCCGUUCUUUCCCAGAACUAUGGAUUGUUACAACUUUGAGUGAAAAGUGUUCAGUUUACAGUUUCCAUUGUUGAGAAACUAUCGGAUAGUUUCACUUGUGGUUUGUGACGUGUUUUGUUGGUUUAGUGAGUGAAGUGCACUGGAUUUUGUUGGUGUGUUGCGGCAAUUUUUUGCUGUGGAACUAAAUAAAGAUCCCGCACGGAGCUAAUGAUACAGGCUACAAGAUGAAGUGAGGCAGUAUGGAGGACGACGCUGAGGCAGCGGUAGGCCCGGACGACGGAUAUCUCCUGGUACGCAUCCAUGUCCCAG